ACUCCUACGGGAGGCAGCAGUGGGGAAUCUUGGACAAUGGGCGCAAGCCUGAUCCAGCCAUGCCGCGUGAGUGAUGAAGGCCUUAGGGUCGUAAAGCUCUUUCGCCAGGGAUGAUAAUGACAGUACCUGGUAAAGAAACCCCGGCUAACUCCGUGCCAGCAGCCGCGGUAAUACGGAGGGUGCAAGCGUUAUCCGGAUUCACUGGGUUUAAAGGGGUGCGUAGGCGGGUAUGUAAGUCAGUGGUGAAAUCUCGGAGCUUAACUCCGAAACUGCCAUUGAUACUAUAUAUCUUGAAUAUUGUGGAGGUUUGCGGAAUAUGUCAUGUAGCGGUGAAAUGCUUAGAUAUGACAUAGAACACCUAUUGCGAAGGCAGCAGGCUACACAUAUAUUGACGCUGAGGCACGAAAGCGUGGGGAUCAAACAGGAUUAGAUACCCUGGUAGGAUAGCG
This 449-nucleotide ribosomal RNA is filed under the name uncultured bacterium. RNAcentral's name for it is "bacterial SSU rRNA". It matches the Rfam family "Bacterial small subunit ribosomal RNA", at positions 335 to 799 of the family's 1533-position model. The record is from RNAcentral.